Long non-coding RNA from Trachemys scripta elegans, 1376 nucleotides. RefSeq lists it as uncharacterized. The transcript has 3 exons. Lineage: Eukaryota; Metazoa; Chordata; Testudines; Emydidae. The record is from RefSeq and is a predicted model, not a curated record.
UGGAAGAGGGGGAAUCCAGGGCUUCUGGCUCAGGACUCCCGAAGAUGGACUUGGCUGAAAGUCACUGAUUUCUGUGCUAACGAGCUCUGCCCUAAGCUGUGAUCCUGUUGAUUAAUAAACCUGUUUCCCUGGCUGGCUGAGAGUCAUGUCUGACUGCGGAGUUCAGGGGCAGGACCCUCUGGCUUCCCCAGGACCCUGCCCUGGCCACUUGCUGUGGGAAGAGCACGGUGGGACAGAGGAUGCUGACCCAGGAAGGUGGAAGCUGGGGGCUCACGAGUGCUGCCUGGUGCACCGGCGAGGGGGGUUCAAGGAAAACUGGAGUAGACUGGACCUGUGGGUGCCGCUGAUGUAGAAUUUCUAUGUUGAAUUGUUACCGCGAACAAAUGGUAACUCGAAGCAGCUUGGGUCGAGAAGAUCAUACAGAUAAAACAUUCAUGUUUUCAGGAAGCAACCCAGUUGCAACAGGAUGUUAUAAGAACGAUCAACAACGUCAUCAAGAGCAUCUUUUAGCCUUCCUCUUUGCAAAGGAAAAACCUCAGCUUAACCCUGCGCACGGAACUUGAGAACCAUCCUUAUUGAAAUGAAUUUAUUUCGUAAACCCACUGAAAUCGUCAUUCUUUAAACUUGGAGAAUGUGUACGGUGGGAAAUGUUUUACAGAAGAUACUGGUGCCUUCUACUUCACGUUUCUAAUUAAAGGUUUUGCUGUUUAUCAAAUGCUUAAGAUGGAAUAAGCGUCUUUUGAAAUGUAGAUUUGCAAAUAUUUUGUAUCUAAAGGCAAACGUUCAUGUAAUAACUGCCUGAUCUCACUGUAGCUCCUGUGUGGAUUGGAACCAACUGGGUCUUAGUGCUACGUCAGGGUGAGCUGCCCGCUCCACUCAAUGAGUCACUUUCUGCCCAGGCUGUUAUGUGAUUCCCAUGGAGGGAUGAGGGGGAUGGCGCAGGAAAAUAGGUUUGGGAUCCUCUGAGCUAAGCCAAGGUGUAAAGUCAACGAAAGAGUGAAUACAACCAACUUUGAAUCUCAACACGCCUGAAGGAAGUGGGGUGGGGGGUGGGGUUUCCCAUCAUUUCAUGAAAAUCGGAAGAAGGGUGUAAAAGAAUCCUGCUUGGAUAGCAAGCACACCCCAUCCAGCUCUGCAAGCAAGCUGCCCCAGACCGCUAAGCAAAACAGUGGAGACUUAAGAGGAAACCAAGCCAAGGAAAACCUCCCCAAAACUUCAACGUGGACUGGUGAGAGAAUGUUAACUGCACUUGCAGUUGCUUUGCUGUGGCGCUUAGUGAAGACACUAGCUAUAUCAAGAGGAGAACGUCUCCCACGGGCGUAGGUACGCCACUUCCCUGAAAAGCACUGUCUACACGAGGUCGGUAUCACUAGGUC